GAUUUAAGAAGAUCUAAAUAAUAAUAGUUAUUAGACAAAAAGAAAUGUUACAAAUAUUAUAUAAAAUUUUUAUUUAGGGGCGAGAUACUUUCAAUUCUUAGGAUAACUGGAUUUAAUUUAGAUGCAUUAAGUGCAGGAUUUAUUUCUGACUUUCAAAGUGUUAAGAAUUUGAAAGGAAAUUUUAAGUUAAUUUUUUUUUCAAUUAAUAAGAAAUAACUUCCUUAAUUAUCUAUGGAAAAACAUAAUUUUUAUUUAAUAAUUUAAAAAGAAUAAAUUAAAAUUUUUUUAAACUUUAAGUAAUAUUUAUAAUGUUAAAAUAAGUAUUAGUAAUAAAACCUUUUUAAGGAACUCGGCAAAAAUUUUUUUCGACUGUUUAACAAAAACAUAGCUUUAUGAAUAAAUUAUUUAUAUAAAGUUUCUCCUGCCCAGUGAAAUUUUAACGGCCGCAGUACCUUGACUGUGCUAAGGUAGCAUAAUAAAUUGGCUUUUAAUUGAAGUCUUGGAUCAACGGAUGGACGGAAAGAAGCUGUCUUAAAAGGAUUUAUAAAAAAUUAAUUUAAGAGGUGAAAAAGCCUUUAUUUUUUUAUAGACAAGAAGACCCUUAGAAUUUUUUAAAAAAUAAAACUAUGUGUAUAAAUAAUUAUAUUUAUAUUAGUGUGCUUUAUUCUUUUUUGUUGGGGCGACAAGGUAACAGAUAAAACUUACCUUAAUAUUAUUUACAUAUCAGAUUAUAUAAAUUUAGAAAAAAUUACCUAAGGGAUAACAGCAUAAUUAUAGAAAUUGUUUGUGACCUCGAUGUUGGAUUAGGAUAACAUAAAACUAGUCGUUUUAUUGUUAGGUUCUGUUCGAACUGCUUCUCCUACAUGAUCUGAGUUCAGACCGGCGUAAGCCAGGUCAG
RNAcentral lists this ribosomal RNA (898 nucleotides) under Natalina wesseliana. RNAcentral's name for it is "partial 16S ribosomal RNA". Lineage: Eukaryota; Metazoa; Mollusca; Gastropoda; Stylommatophora; Rhytididae. The record is from RNAcentral.